Molecule: small nuclear RNA, 22 nt
Filed under: Arabidopsis thaliana (thale cress)
Lineage: Eukaryota; Viridiplantae; Streptophyta; Magnoliopsida; Brassicales; Brassicaceae
Description: snRNA_13967
Source: RNAcentral
GUCAGCGGACUGCUCGAGCUGC